This 467-nucleotide ribosomal RNA is filed under the name uncultured bacterium. Its description in RNAcentral is "bacterial SSU rRNA". It matches the Rfam family "Bacterial small subunit ribosomal RNA", at positions 329 to 793 of the family's 1533-position model. The record is from RNAcentral.
CACCAGACUCCUACGGGAGGCAGCAGUGAGGAAUAUUGGUCAAUGGGCUUACGCCUGAACCAGCCAAGUCGCGUGAGGGAAGACUGCCCUAUGGGUUGUAAACCUCUUUUGUCGGGGAGCAAUUGGCGCUACGUGUAGCGUUAUCGAGAGUACCUGAAGAAAAAGCAUCGGCUAACUCCGUGCCAGCAGCCGCGGUAAUACGGAGGAUGCGAGCGUUAUCCGGAUUUAUUGGGUUUAAAGGGUGCGUAGGCGGAGUGUCAAGUCAGCGGUAAAAUUUCGGGGCUCAACCCCGUCGUGCCGUUGAAACUGACGCCCUUGAGUGAGUGAGAAGUAAGCGGAAUGCGUGGUGUAGCGGUGAAAUGCAUAGAUAUCACGCAGAGCGCCGAUUGCGAAGGCAGUCUGCCGCAGCGUUACUGACGCUGAAGCUCGAAAGCGCGGGUAUCGAACAGGAUUAGAUACCCCUGUAA